UGAGGAAUUUUCGGCAAUGGAGGCAACUCUGACCGAGCAACGCCGCGUGCAGGAUGACGGCCUUCGGGUUGUAAACUGCUUUUCUCUGGGACGAGCAAGGACGGUACCAGAGGAACAAGCCCCGGCUAACUACGUGCCAGCAGCCGCGGUAAUACGUAGGGGGCGAGCGUUGUCCGGAUUUAUUGGGCGUAAAGCGCAUGCAGGCGGUCCUGUAAGUUUGAAGUGACAGUUUCCGGCUCAACCGGGAAAGUGCUUUGAAAACUGCGGGACUUGAGGGCUUCAGAGGGACACGGAAUUCCGGGUGGAGUGGUGAAAUGCGUAGAUAUCCGGAGGAACACCGAAGGCGAAGGCAGUGUCCUGGGGAGUACCUGACGCUCAGAUGCGAAAGCCAGGGGAGCGAACGGGAUUAGAUACCCCCGUAGUCC
This 425-nucleotide ribosomal RNA is filed under the name uncultured bacterium. RNAcentral's name for it is "bacterial SSU rRNA". It matches the Rfam family "Bacterial small subunit ribosomal RNA", at positions 355 to 796 of the family's 1533-position model. The record is from RNAcentral.